CGGCUGUUAAAUUCAUAUUUAAGCAUAAAUGCAUUACUUUUGCGCGUUUGAUUGACCAGCAAUCCUGUUUGAAACUAAAGCCAUGUAACAACACAUGAUCAAUUUGCAAAUUGCGGAAGAAUGAGAAGUUAUUCCAUAGGGAUUAAACUUUUUAAAACUGUAUUUGGAUUGACGCUGUUUAUUAUGUAGGCCUCAAAUCAAUUUCCCGCCUCAAAUAUAUAAACAGCCUCCUUGAUGUGUCAUUUCCAUAGAGUUAUGUCCCUUAUAUAUUGGGUCAUAGACGUCACAAAAGCAUGUCCAUCUUCUUACAUAUUUGUAAAAUUUACCAAUGUCCUAUGACGUCAGCAUUACCAAUACGUCGUCGAGGAAAACAUGUUGUUGUAUCAGACAGAAGUUGGAACUUUAUAUUGGAAUGAAAUCGAUAAUAGUCC
RNAcentral lists this long non-coding RNA (431 nucleotides) under Mytilus galloprovincialis (Mediterranean mussel). Lineage: Eukaryota; Metazoa; Mollusca; Bivalvia; Mytilida; Mytilidae. The record is from RNAcentral.